GAUGAACGCUGGCGGUAUGCUUAACACAUGCAAGUCGAACGGACUCUUCGGAGUUAGUGGCGGACGGGUGAGUAACGCGUGAGAAUCUGGCUUUGGGUUCGGGACAACCACUGGAAACGGUGGCUAAUACCGGAUGUGCCGAGAGGUAAAAGAGAAAUUGCCUGAAGAUGAGCUCGCGUCUGAUUAGCUAGUUGGUGAGGUAAAGGCUCACCAAGGCAGCGAUCAGUAGCUGGUCUGAGAGGAUGACCAGCCACACUGGGACUGAGACACGGCCCAGACUCCUACGGGAGGCAGCAGUGGGGAAUUUUCCGCAAUGGGCGAAAGCCUGACGGAGCAAUACCGCGUGAGGGAAGAAGGCUCUUGGGUUGCAAACCUCUUUUCUUAGGGAAGAACAAAAUGACGGUACCUAAGGAAUCAGCAUCGGCUAACUCCGUG
RNAcentral lists this ribosomal RNA (435 nucleotides) under uncultured bacterium. RNAcentral's name for it is "partial 16S ribosomal RNA". It matches the Rfam family "Bacterial small subunit ribosomal RNA", at positions 28 to 507 of the family's 1533-position model. The record is from RNAcentral.